This 47-nucleotide non-coding RNA is filed under the name Tetradesmus obliquus. RNAcentral describes it as "partial 18S ribosomal RNA". It matches the Rfam family "Eukaryotic small subunit ribosomal RNA", at positions 1785 to 1831 of the family's 1831-position model. RNAcentral also lists the same sequence under 44 other names. The record is from RNAcentral. Lineage: Eukaryota; Viridiplantae; Chlorophyta; Chlorophyceae; Sphaeropleales; Scenedesmaceae.
GAAGUCGUAACAAGGUUUCCGUAGGUGAACCUGCGGAAGGAUCAUUG